This 199-nucleotide ribosomal RNA is filed under the name uncultured bacterium. RNAcentral describes it as "partial 16S ribosomal RNA". It matches the Rfam family "Bacterial small subunit ribosomal RNA", at positions 328 to 539 of the family's 1533-position model. The record is from RNAcentral.
ACGCUCGACACCUACGGGAGGCAGCAGUUGGGAAUAUUGGACAAUGGAGGAAACUCUGAUCCAGUGACGCCGCGUGAAGGAAGAAGGUCUUCGGAUUGUAAACUUAUUUUGUCAGGGAAGAAAAAUGACUGUACCUGAAGAAAAAGCACCGGCUAACUACGUGCCAGCAGCCGCGGUAAUCUGAGCGGGCUGGCAAGGC